Molecule: transfer RNA, 69 nt
Filed under: Furipterus horrens
Lineage: Eukaryota; Metazoa; Chordata; Mammalia; Chiroptera; Furipteridae
Description: tRNA-Gly
Source: RNAcentral
GCUCUUUUAGUAUUAAUCAGUACAACUGACUUCCAAUCAGUUAGUUUCGGCAAACCCCGAAGAAGAGCA